RNAcentral lists this ribosomal RNA (640 nucleotides) under Anoplostoma sp. BUS21. RNAcentral's name for it is "eukaryotic LSU rRNA". It matches the Rfam family "Eukaryotic large subunit ribosomal RNA", at positions 403 to 911 of the family's 3401-position model. The record is from RNAcentral. Lineage: Eukaryota; Metazoa; Nematoda; Enoplea; Enoplida; Anoplostomatidae.
AACCGCUUAGAAGGAAACAGAUGGAACCGAAAAGUUGUUUAUCGGAUUCAGUCGGCCGUUGCAUUCAUUUGUUGCGGUCGAUUCAUUUCUGAUAGACACGCGCUACGACCAGUUACUCGAUGGGCGCCACUUGUGGACUGAAGACGAUUUGCUUGCAAGUUGACACUCGUCCAUGAGAAGCGACCGCAUUCGAGUGACUGAGAACCUGCCGUACCCGCUUGUCUCAUGCUGGUCGGUCUGUGCUUGGUUAACGUAGGGUCCUGCUUGCAGAGCUCUGUGGAGGCUAGGUGCUGGCUGAUUAGUCUUGAGUGGUGCUUAAGGUCUGUGGCGUCUGUGUCGGUCUCCCAUCUGACCCGUCUUGAAACACGGACCAAGGAGUCUAACUUGUGCGCAAGUCAUUGAGUGGUAAACUCAAAGGCGAAAUGAAAGUAAUGAGCAGUUUGGCUGCUCAAUCAGUAGGAUCCUCCAGUUUCGGCUGGAGGCGCACUACUAUCCCGUCGAAGGAACUUGUUUCCUAGGCGGAGAUUGAGCGCAAACGUUAGUACCCGAAAGAUGGUGAUCUAUGCCUGAGCAGGGUGAAGCCAGAGGAAACUCUGGUGGAAGUCUGAAGCAGUUCUGACGUGCAAAUCGAUGUCAGACU